CCCCCCCCCUUAAUCCCCACUAUAUAAUACGUCUCUUUUAGGAAAAAUUCUCUUUGAAAAACGUUAAAUUAUCUGUCGCGACUGUUACAGUAAUCGUUCUGACAGACAGCCAAGGAUUUUACUUGUCAAGGCGACGGAUUUAUUUGUCGUUGUUUUUUCCUCAUUAACAAUGUACAUUUUCCUACAAUGAGAGGAAAUAUCCAAAAGGACAUAAGCGAAUAAUUUUGAAACUUUUAAACCAAGAUGAUUGGAUAAAUGUUUCUUUCGAUACUAAAAAAUUUUAAAGAACCUUCGAUGACCAGAUUGGAACACGCACUGUCUCUUAAGUACAGUUUCGAUAUUCGUACUACCACGAGGGCGGCGUUUUGGAGUUGGCGCACAAAAUUAUAGUUGGACCUCUUUGAAUAUCCAUUUAACUAAAGGAGCCUAACCUAGUGGGUAGAAACAUAUGUUUGACGCAUGGGAUUGUCUAAAGUUUGAUCCUUAAGGUGUUAAUGAGAUUUUUCUUGUGAUUUUCUCAUUGGUGGUGUCUGGUCUCUAGUGCAAGCCGACCAUAAUAUCCAUCCCGUUCAUCACUGUCCUAGCCAAGAACCAUAAUUGACUUCCCACCACGUGGUAGAGAGCCACCACCCUCUGUAGCAUGUCAAGUUCAGGAAAUAGAAGGAUGUAAAACUGAUCACUAUUAUUAUGUUAUUUCAUCAACUCCAUAGUUUAUAAGCUGAUUCUAUCGAAAAUAAAAGCGAUUAUAUGAAGUAUCACAAUUGCGCUUGUAAAUUAUUAAUAUUGUAUUAUUAAUA
Daktulosphaira vitifoliae (grape phylloxera) is the source of this 797-nucleotide long non-coding RNA. RefSeq lists it as uncharacterized. Lineage: Eukaryota; Metazoa; Arthropoda; Insecta; Hemiptera; Phylloxeridae. The transcript is spliced from 3 exons. The record is from RefSeq and is a predicted model, not a curated record.